GGGUCAUUGGUCUAGGGGUAUGAUAUUCGCUUCGCAUCGACUCCUCAGCGAGUUGUAUGACUGUGAAAGGUCAUGGGUUCAAUUCCCAUAUGAUCCA
This 97-nucleotide transfer RNA is filed under the name Plectosphaerella plurivora. RNAcentral's name for it is "Plectosporium sp. AC-2010b tRNA". It matches the Rfam family "tRNA". From Rfam's summary of the family: Transfer RNA (tRNA) molecules are approximately 80 nucleotides in length. Their secondary structure includes four short double-helical elements and three loops (D, anti-codon, and T loops). The record is from Rfam by way of RNAcentral. Lineage: Eukaryota; Fungi; Ascomycota; Sordariomycetes; Glomerellales; Plectosphaerellaceae.